This 69-nucleotide transfer RNA is filed under the name Bipes biporus. Its description in RNAcentral is "tRNA-Met". The record is from RNAcentral. Lineage: Eukaryota; Metazoa; Chordata; Lepidosauria; Squamata; Bipedidae.
AGUAAAGUCAGCUAGCACAAGCUAUUGGGCCCAUACCCCAAAAACGUUGGAAAUAUCCAUCCUUUACUA